Scophthalmus maximus (turbot) is the source of this 451-nucleotide long non-coding RNA. RefSeq lists it as uncharacterized. The transcript has 3 exons. Lineage: Eukaryota; Metazoa; Chordata; Actinopteri; Pleuronectiformes; Scophthalmidae. The record is from RefSeq and is a predicted model, not a curated record.
GAGGCGCCGGCCGGGGGGGAGAACACCGUGGGGGAGUUGAGCCGCUCAUCACUGAAGCUGAAGCUGUUUCUGUUCAGAGACUCUGCACCUGUCGGACGGAGAGAGAGAGAGGACAACAUGAACACACACACACAUUGAGAUCAGAGCUGCACCUGGUUUUGUGCCACAUCAUCUCAGACGAUCUCAUCACGUCAAUCAAACUUCAUAUUUAUCAGACACAAGAGAAACUGGCUCGUCAGUUGAAGCUGGAGCGACACCUGGUGGCGACACGCCGCAGCUGCACCUGACGUCUGGAAGCUCAGGAUCUGAGUGGAGCAGAUCGGCAGCGUCCAGGAGGAGAGACCCUGCUGAGACCUCCACACCUCCGGGGCCCAGUGGAACACGACCAGCAGAUGGAUGAACGCUCCGCGUGUGUGCAGCUGCACGUGUCCGUUGACCGUGCGACUUCGCG